UUGUGAACCUCGGGGCGUUCCGCGAGAGCGGUCCGUCCCAACCACACACCACUGUGAACAAACCCGUCGUCGGCCGUCGCCGUCGGCGAAACCUUUACACCUGUCGUACUACGUCCAGAAAGUAUAACAAAAGAGUA
This 137-nucleotide unclassified non-coding RNA is filed under the name uncultured fungus. RNAcentral describes it as "sequence contains ITS1, 5.8S rRNA gene". The record is from RNAcentral. Lineage: Eukaryota; Fungi.